AUUGAACGCUGGCGGCGUGCCUAACACAUGCAAGUCGAGCGGUAACAGGUGUAGCAAUACAUGCUGACGAGCGGCGGACGGGUGAGUAACGCUUGGGAAUCUGCCUGUUAGUGGGGGACAACCCGGGGAAACUCGGGCUAAUACCGCAUACGCACUACGGUGGAAAGCCGGGGACCGCAAGGCCUGGCGCUAACAGAUGAGCCCAAGUCGGAUUAGCUAGUUGGUAGGGUAACGGCCUACCAAGGCGACGAUCCGUAACUGGUCUGAGAGGACGACCAGUCACACCGGAACUGAGACACGGUCCGGGACUCCUACGGGAGGCAGCAGUGGGGAAUAUUGGACAAUGGGCGAAAGCCUGAUCCAAGCGACGCCGCGUGGGUGAAGAAGGCCUGCGGGUUNUAAAGCCCUUUCGGU
RNAcentral lists this ribosomal RNA (414 nucleotides) under uncultured bacterium. RNAcentral's name for it is "bacterial SSU rRNA". It matches the Rfam family "Bacterial small subunit ribosomal RNA", at positions 29 to 440 of the family's 1533-position model. The record is from RNAcentral.